GAUGAACGCUGGCGGCGUGCUUAACACAUGCAAGUCGAACGAAGCACUCUAUUUGAUUUUUUUCGGAAAUGAAGAUUUUGUGACUGAGUGGCGUACGGGUGAGUAACGCGUGGGUAACCUGCCUCAUACAGGGGGAUAACAGUUGGAAACGACUGCUAAUACCGCAUAAGCGCACAGUACUGCAUGGUACAGUGUGAAAAACUCCGGUGGUAUGAGAUGGACCCGCGUCUGACUAGCUAGUUGGUGGGGUAACGGACUACCAAGGCGACGAGCAGUAGCCGACCUGGGAGGGUGACCGGCACCAUUGGGACUGAGACACGGCCCAAACUCCUACGGGAGGCAGCAGUGGGGAAUAUUGCACAAUGGGGGAAACCCUGAUGCAGCGACGCCGCGUGAACGAAGAAGUAUUUCGGUAUGUAAAGUUCUAUCAGCAGGGAAGAUAAUGACGGUACCUGACUAAGAAGCACCGGCUAAAUACGUGCCAGCCGCCGCCGUAA
Molecule: ribosomal RNA, 497 nt
Filed under: uncultured bacterium
Lineage: Bacteria
Description: partial 16S ribosomal RNA
Rfam family: Bacterial small subunit ribosomal RNA
Source: RNAcentral